This is a long non-coding RNA of Lates calcarifer (barramundi perch), 427 nucleotides long. RefSeq lists it as uncharacterized. The transcript is spliced from 4 exons. NCBI's taxonomy places the organism in Eukaryota, Metazoa, Chordata, Actinopteri, Centropomidae. The record is from RefSeq and is a predicted model, not a curated record.
AAGUAGGAAAACAUUAAACUCAAGUCUGAACAGUUGCUUCUGUUUGCUAGUACUAUGAAAAAAACGUCGCUAUCGGAGAGGUUUAAAUGCUAAAACAAACUCUGGAGCUGCUUCUUUGUCGAACAGGAGUGAGGCUGGACGCUGAACACACCUGUGGCGCAAAGGUUUACUCGUUCAGCUGCUGCAGCCUGACCAGAAAUACCAGCUCUCAUCUUACAAACCAAUCAGGUGUCACCACUUCAUCCACGAUUGCAGAGUCUUUGUACAAUGAAGUUCUUUGAAACCAGGACAGAGGCCUCCAGGAUUCAAAUUUUAACCAUUAAAUGAAGGGAAGAGACAGACGUGGAGACAUUUCCAGAAGGUCAGUGUUAGUUUAUUCUUUUCAGUCUGACUCUGUCAUUAUCUCAACUGCAGUUUGACUCUUUAA